Molecule: long non-coding RNA, 364 nt
Filed under: Mus pahari (shrew mouse)
Lineage: Eukaryota; Metazoa; Chordata; Mammalia; Rodentia; Muridae
Description: lncRNA (MGP_PahariEiJ_G0002787.1)
Source: RNAcentral
UAAUUAAAGGAGGUAGUGAGGGAUGGAAAGAGACACUUCAAGAGUCAAAAUUCAUAUUAGACAGUGGGUAGAGAAAGAUUAAAUUAAGUCACGUGGAGGAGUUGGGGAGAGCCCACCUUUAAAUACCAAAUCAAGAAAUCUGGGGAAAAGCAAAGGAUUCGGAGAACUGGACACCUGUCUGUCUGUCCGUCCUCCAGGCUAGGAGUGUCUGUGCUACUGGGCCAGCAGUACACAGCAGCAGGCACUCCCAUCUUAAGCAGACUGGUCACUCCUCGCCAUGCCCUCCCGAGAGAGGCCUCAGCAGACAGAGAUGGGUCAUGGAAGUAAAGGGGUGGUGGGCAAGGAGGAGACACAGCUCAAAUAC